AGCUUGCCUUCUUAUGUGACCAAAAAAACCCACUACUUACUGGGAUGCCACCCUCAGUGGUGUAUAAGGACCUCAUCAGGGAUCAAGGAAACAGCCCAAGAACAUGACCACAGGACAAAAAGUGGAGGUAAUUUCUCAGUGGUGUAUAAGGACCUCAUCAGGGAUCAAGGAAACAGCCCAAGAACAUGACCACAGGACAAAAAAGUGGAGG
This 211-nucleotide long non-coding RNA is filed under the name Rattus norvegicus (Norway rat). Its description in RNAcentral is "long non-coding RNA NONRATT025642". Lineage: Eukaryota; Metazoa; Chordata; Mammalia; Rodentia; Muridae. The record is from RNAcentral.